RNAcentral lists this long non-coding RNA (1072 nucleotides) under Marmota monax (woodchuck). The record is from RNAcentral. Lineage: Eukaryota; Metazoa; Chordata; Mammalia; Rodentia; Sciuridae.
UAAAGAGGCUGGGGAUGUGGCUCAGUGGUUGAGUCCCCUGUGUUUCUCCUUUGCUGCAAAGCAAUAAGCCUUCUUUUUUCCUUUUUCUCAAAACUGUGUCCUUGUUAUUUGAUUGGAAUGGGGAAUAAGGACCAAGAUUUUGGCAACAGUAGGAUGGAGCCCUUAACCUCUGGGAUCUAAUGUGAAUAGGUUUAGAAUUGGUUUGAAUUAUGGAACAUCCAUCUGGUGUCCACUGCCAAAUUGCUUGGUGUGGAGAAAACCGCCACAAAAUUGGUCAGAGAACUCUUCUGUAUUGGGUAUGUGAAUAGGAUAAAAAGUUUUUUCCUCUUAUAGCAUCUUAUUCCCUAACAAAUCUCUGCCAAAUCAACCCUGCGAUGUAGGAUAGGGCUAAAGAUAGUGAUGGAACUGACAAGCGGAGAGCCUGAGGAAGUCUGAUGAAGUUCCCCUGCUCUGUUCAGUUUGCUAGGGUGUUAGAUUUAAAACCCGAGGAAGGACUGUGCACCUGGAAAUGAAGCUUUGUGGUGAGAACAGUUCUCCAUUUCUUUAUAUGUUCCCCAUUCUAUAGACUUAUGUCCCUAUAUUCUCUCCAACACCUUAUAUUAGUUUUAGUUUCUUCCCCUUAUCCUCUUCCUCUUUUUUUUUUUUUUUGACUGGAGAUUGGACCCCGGGGCACUUUACUCUGAGCCACAUUCCCAGCCCUUAAUUUUAUUUUUUAUUUUCAGACAGGGUUCUUGCUAAAUUGCUUAGGGCUUAGCUAAAUCACUGAGGCAGACCUUGAAUUUGCUAUCCUCUUACCUCAGCCUUCAGAAUCACUGGAAUUUACAGGCGUGUGCCUCUUCCCUGGUUUAUUAUUCAGCUUUCUAAACUUUGCUUGUCUAAUGGGUGUGAAGUGAUUGCUCAUUGUUUUAAUUUUCAUUUCCCUGACAAUGAGUUUGCACACCUUUUCAACAGUUGGUAGCUGGUUGAAUUUCCUUAUUUGCAAGUUGUUCAUUUAUAUACUUUGCCCAUUUCUUUUUUUCCUAUUGAUAGUCUUCCUUUUUGUUACUAUUGACUUACAAAGGUACGUAAUAUA